This is a long non-coding RNA of Equus quagga, 191 nucleotides long. RefSeq lists it as uncharacterized. The record is from RefSeq and is a predicted model, not a curated record. NCBI's taxonomy places the organism in Eukaryota, Metazoa, Chordata, Mammalia, Perissodactyla, Equidae. The transcript is spliced from 3 exons.
GAACCAACGAAACACUGGGCCGCCUACAGCGGAGCGCGCGAACUUAACCACUCGGCCACUGGGCCAGCCCCCCUGCAAAUGCUUUCUUAAUGGGUAUGAGAUCCUUGAGAACAGAAAUCACUGUCAUUUCUGUAUCCUGAGCAUUUAGAAGAUUAGCCCUGAGCUAACUAUUGCCAAUCCUCCUCUUUUUU